RNAcentral lists this transfer RNA (70 nucleotides) under Ophiacantha linea. RNAcentral describes it as "tRNA-Met". Lineage: Eukaryota; Metazoa; Echinodermata; Ophiuroidea; Amphilepidida; Ophiacanthidae. The record is from RNAcentral.
UGCAGGGUAAGUUAUAUUUAAACUAUUGGGCUCAUAAUCCAAAUAAGGAGGAUUACCCCUCCUCCUGUGU